RNAcentral lists this ribosomal RNA (253 nucleotides) under uncultured bacterium. RNAcentral's name for it is "partial 16S ribosomal RNA". It matches the Rfam family "Bacterial small subunit ribosomal RNA", at positions 524 to 776 of the family's 1533-position model. The record is from RNAcentral.
UACGGAGGGAGCAAACGUUGUUCGGAUUUACUGGGCGUAAAGGGUGUGUAGGCGGUCUUGCAAGUCAGGGGUGAAAUCUCUCGGCUCAACCGAGAAACUGCCUUUGAGACUGCAGGACUUGAGGGCGUGAGAGGAGACUGGAAUUCCUAGUGUAGCGGUGAAGUGCAUAGAUAUUAGGAGGAACACCAGUGGCGAAGGCGAGUCUCUGGGCAGUAACUGACGCUGAGGAGCGAAAGCGUGGGGAGCGAACAGG